CCUACGGGUGGCUGCAGUGGGGAAUAUUGGACAAUGGGCGAAAGCCUGAUCCAGCCAUGCCGCGUGUGUGAAGAAGGCCUUCGGGUUGUAAAGCACUUUCAGUGGGGAAGAAAGCCUUGGGGCUAAUACCCUCGAGGAAGGACAUCACCCACAGAAGAAGCACCGGCUAACUCCGUGCCAGCAGCCGCGGUAAUCGGAGGGUGCGAGCGUUAAUCGGAAUUACUGGGCGUAAAGCGCGCGUAGGCGGUCUGAUAAGCCGGUUGUGAAAGCCCCGGGCUCAACCUGGGAACGGCAUCCGGAACUGUCAGGCUAGAGUGCAGGAGAGGAAGGUAGAAUUCCCGGUGUAGCGGUGAAAUGCGUAGAGAUCGGGAGGAAUACCAGUGGCGAAGGCGGCCUUCUGGACUGACACUGACGCUGAGGUGCGAAAGCGUGGGUAGCAAACAGGAUUAGAUACCCCAGUAGUC
Molecule: ribosomal RNA, 464 nt
Filed under: Vreelandella stevensii
Lineage: Bacteria; Pseudomonadati; Pseudomonadota; Gammaproteobacteria; Oceanospirillales; Halomonadaceae
Description: partial 16S ribosomal RNA
Rfam family: Bacterial small subunit ribosomal RNA
Source: RNAcentral